This 433-nucleotide ribosomal RNA is filed under the name uncultured bacterium. RNAcentral's name for it is "partial 16S ribosomal RNA". It matches the Rfam family "Bacterial small subunit ribosomal RNA", at positions 29 to 507 of the family's 1533-position model. The record is from RNAcentral.
AACGAACGCUGGCGGCAUGCCUAACACAUGCAAGUCGAACGAGACCUUCGGGUCUAGUGGCGCACGGGUGCGUAACGCGUGGGAACCUGCCCUUAGGUUCGGAAUAACUCCCCGAAAGGGGUGCUAAUACCGGAUAAUGUCUUCGGACCAAAGAUUUAUCGCCUUUGGAUGGGCCCGCGUUGGAUUAGCUAGUUGGUAGGGUAAAAGCCUACCAAGGCGACGAUCCAUAGCUGGUCUGAGAGGAUGAUCAGCCACACUGGGACUGAGACACGGCCCAGACUCCUACGGGAGGCAGCAGUGGGGAAUAUUGGACAAUGGGCGAAAGCCUGAUCCAGUAAUGCCGCGUGAGUGAUGAAGGCCUUAGGGUUGUAAGGCUCUUUUACCCGGGAUGAUAAUGACAGUACCGGGAGAAUAAGCUCCGGCUAACUCCGUG